AUGGAGGGGUUUGCGAUCGUGUUGGUUCUGUGGCAGAAGGGCGUUUGUCGGCGUCGCGUGUUAUUUCUGGUGCAUUGUGGACUCGCGGCUGCGAUCGGAGCGGAAGGCUGGAGUCUCAAGUCUGCGCGAUUUGGAGUGUGUAAGAUAGAGUUAGGUCAAAUUUUAAGAGUUGCAAAGAGGAAAAUUCAAGAGUCGAUGAUCUCCUUAUAA
Non-coding RNA from Vicia faba (fava bean), 210 nucleotides. Lineage: Eukaryota; Viridiplantae; Streptophyta; Magnoliopsida; Fabales; Fabaceae. The record is from the annotation of a GenBank genome assembly.